AGGCUCAAGGCGACGACGGGUAGCCGGCCUGAGAGGGUGACACGGCCACAUUGGGACUGAGAUACGGCCCAGACUCCUACGGGAGGCAGCAGUGGGGAAUAUUGCACAAUGGGCGAAAGCCUGAUGCAGCGACGCCGCGUGAGGGAUGACGGCCUUCGGGUUGUAAACCUCUUUCAGCAGGGACGAAGCGAAAGUGACGGUACCUGCAGAAAAAGCACCGGCUAACUACGUGGCAGA
This 237-nucleotide ribosomal RNA is filed under the name uncultured bacterium. RNAcentral describes it as "partial 16S ribosomal RNA". It matches the Rfam family "Bacterial small subunit ribosomal RNA", at positions 261 to 512 of the family's 1533-position model. The record is from RNAcentral.